RNAcentral lists this ribosomal RNA (460 nucleotides) under uncultured bacterium. RNAcentral describes it as "partial 16S ribosomal RNA". It matches the Rfam family "Bacterial small subunit ribosomal RNA", at positions 338 to 795 of the family's 1533-position model. The record is from RNAcentral.
CCUACGGGAGGCUGCAGUGAGGAAUAUUGGUCAAUGGGCGGGAGCCUGAACCAGCCAAGUCGCGUGAGGGAAGACGGUCCUAUGGAUUGUAAACCUCUUUAGUCGGGGAGCAAUGCCGGGCACGUGUGCCGGGAGGGAGAGUACCCGCAGAAUAAGCAUCGGCUAACUCCGUGCCAGCCGCCGCGGUAAUACGGAGGAUGCUAGCGUUAUCCGGAUUUAUGGGGUUUAAAGGGUGCGUAGGCGGAUUUUUAAGUCAGCGGUAAAAUGUCCGGGCUCAACCCGGGCCGGCCGUUGAACAUGGGGAGCUUGAGUGGGCGAGAAGUAUGCGGAAUGCGUGGUGUAGCGGUGAAAUGCAUAGAUAUCACGCAGAACUCCGAUUGCGAAGGCAGCAUACCGGCGCCCGACUGACGCUGAGGCACGAAAGCGUGGGGAUCGAACAGGAUUAGAUACCCCUGUAGUC